Podarcis lilfordi (Lilford's wall lizard) is the source of this 75-nucleotide non-coding RNA. The record is from the annotation of a GenBank genome assembly. Lineage: Eukaryota; Metazoa; Chordata; Lepidosauria; Squamata; Lacertidae.
CACUGGGAUAGAUCAGUCAGCAGAACAUGUGACUCUUUAUCUCAGGGCUGUGGGUUUGAGUCCCACAUUGGGUGA